GCCAACAAAAGGUGUUAUGCGUUUAUGUUACGAUAGCUAAGAGUGGGCACUCUGGGUUAUUCGAUAAGAAGUGCUAAGCAACUAGAGAAUUCAUCAAUGUUCAAUAAAUGUUAAAUUUUCCAAUAGACUAUUUUAUUAUCUUCACACUAUGACUUUACAUUUAUUCCAAGAAAAGAAAGAAAAGAAAAAAGGAAAAAGACAAGACGCUAAAUGCUCGAGUUGCUGCCAUCUCACGCCGCUGAACUUGGACUACUGGAAUGAUGUGCUUUGCCAAGGCUGCUCAGCACAGUGAAACUCAAUGUACCUGCAUUUUCCCUUCGAAAAAUGGUAUUUAGACCAUCACAUGCUAAUCAGUUAGUUUAUAUCCAUUCUGGAAACCAGUUAAAUAGAAAUAAUCUCGAAAGAUUGAUAUUCAGAAGAUGACGUUGCCUUUACUCUGGAAAAUUCGAGCGCUUUGAGCAGCUAAACGAGCCCCUCUCCUACUGCUCCUUGUGCCCUCUGCACGGGUUUAUGUUCGGGUUGAGGAACCACCUUCUCCCACACGAGAUGCUGCAGAAAACAACUCAAAGAAGCGUUGGGACAGAGAAGCACAUGACAGCGAAGCAUCUCUGCAUCACUAUGAACACUUGGGAUGCUCGCCUUCGGACCUUCUGAAGCGAGGGUGGUUCUUUGAAUGACCUUCUGCCUGAGAAGUUCACCAAUUCCUGUCAUAGCUUCAUAUCCCUGAUCAAUGUGCUCAGAAAAGAGCAGAUGUGACCCCGGACACUGCACUGCAGACGUGGGUACUGGUUUUUUUAAAAGGCACCUCUGUCAACUUUGUUCCCGUGGACAUUCAUCUUUCCUUAAAAUUUCUAAAUUAAAAUUGAAGGCUUUAUGGAGAUUUACUAUCAUUAUAAGGUGAUAUUAAAAUAUGAUAGCCUUUAAAAUGUAUCACCACACUCAAUAAAUGUUACUGGGCUGGGAAAGUAAAGCAAAAAACAAAGAAAAUAUAUGAACAGAAGGGAUUCUGUAGGAUUUGUAGUUGAUUUGUUCAUUCCUUCUCUCUCUUCUCCUCUUUCUCUUCCCUCCUUCCUUCUUUCCUUAUUUCCUUCAGUCUUAGAAACUAGUUACUGAAAAUCUGUUACGUGAUGAUGUAAUGUCAGGACGUGCUCCAGCAGCAUCUCAAAUGCUGGAAAGGAUUAAUGUGAGGAACAGGCUGGCAGCCUGCUGAAGUCAUUUAAAAGACAGCAAAUGCUACGGAAUAAACAAGCAAAAAUGAAUGCUAGUUGGUUAUUAAAGUAAAAUUUCUUACUUAAUUGAAGACUGAUAUCACUUGAACUAAAUCUGACUACAGAAGGGCCAUCUUCCCGCUAAGUGCAGAGAGAAGAGUUGACAUUGCAUUUUGUAUAGUUGUGUAUGGAGAUGGCUUAUGUCACUCUGUCUUGAUACCCUUUUUCACAGAAUCAUCAUGCGAACUCAGACAUGAUUCAAAUCCAGUCAGAUCUUUACGCAGAGAUUAAGAAUCACAAAGUCUCUAUUAUUAACUAGAUUUUGGAUGUGAGUAUUUCAUUGUAAACCUCCUGGAUCCAUUGCCUUUCCAGCCAAUCUGGGUCAAGACCUCUCAGCUGCCAUGUGCUUUCCCCAGGUUUCCCGGGUUUCUAAUCUCCAGCUAGCUCUGUUCUUCAGCUGCUUUUUGACUGGUAAUGAGUAACUGGCUGGCUUACUUGCAGACUUUAUACACAAAAGUACAAGAAACCUGACAUUCUUGGUGGACGGAUUCAAUUAAUUAUCUCCUCUAAACUUGUUCUCCCCGCUGGACUUGUUCUAAUAGGUGUUUUUGUCCUCACUAUUUAUGUCUGGGGUUAUAUGGCACCAUGGAUAUUGAGUUUCUCUCUCUCUGGGGCCUCAAUCAUUGCCUGAUAGGGGAUGAUCAGAUCAUAAUGAUUAUUUCAGGCCCUUUCUCCUCCGGCUGUGCCUUACCCGAGAAACAGCCCAGAGGGUCUCAGAGUUAAAUCGCUUCUUCGAGCCACCUUCUGGGGCAGCUUCUUCAAGUAGAAAAAAUAUGAACCUUUUAAGUGAAGUUUGGCCUCAUUGAUAAACACGGGAUUCGCAUCUUCCCGUUCUGGUGGUUGCCUGCUCAGAUAAUCUUUCUUUAUUGUGGUGGUUUUAAUGACUCAUUUUUGUUCUAAAUUUUUUUCUCUCUAAAGAGCAAUAAGUGCACAUAGUAAAAACUUCAAGCAGUACAAAGUAUAUAUAAUAAGUCUCCUUGUACCCCUUGAGACCCAGUCUACCCCUUGAGACCCAGUCUACCCCUUGAGUGCUCCAGUGUCUAAAGCUGCCCGUCACACAGAGAAAAAGUUCCAUUUCUAUAGCCUGUGAUUAAAAACUGUCAGGAUCUCUCCAUGAUCUCUUUCCCUCAGUUUUUUCCUACUCCAGGCACAUACCCUCUGCUCCAGCCGUA
Molecule: long non-coding RNA, 2440 nt
Organism: Equus caballus (horse)
Lineage: Eukaryota; Metazoa; Chordata; Mammalia; Perissodactyla; Equidae
Source: Ensembl